UCAACUUUCACUUUAAUACACUGCCCGAACUGGGCAGUUCGCGCAGGCAGGGACCGGUCUCUCCUUCAGGGACCGGUUCCCGAACGUCGUCCCAGCGCAGCCAGAGCUGCUGCGCGCAGUGCAACCGGUCUCCCCUUAUGGGACCGGUCUCUCGGGGACCGGUCUCUCAGGCAGGGACCGGUUCCCGAGAGCUAAUUUCUCAGGACUUAGCCGAUUUUUCGGCUGUCUCAUUUCAUACGCGUUCGGGGACCGGUCUCUCCCACUAGGGACCGGUCCC
This 277-nucleotide long non-coding RNA is filed under the name Ananas comosus (pineapple). RNAcentral describes it as "long non-coding RNA (ACOM_LNC037228)". Lineage: Eukaryota; Viridiplantae; Streptophyta; Magnoliopsida; Poales; Bromeliaceae. The record is from RNAcentral.